This 220-nucleotide ribosomal RNA is filed under the name uncultured bacterium. RNAcentral describes it as "partial 16S ribosomal RNA". It matches the Rfam family "Bacterial small subunit ribosomal RNA", at positions 57 to 305 of the family's 1533-position model. The record is from RNAcentral.
GCAAGUCGAGCGCGCCCUUCGGGGUGAGCGGCGGACGGGUGAGUAACGCGUGGGAAUAUGCCCUUCUCUAAGGAAUAGCCUCUGGAAACGGAGAGUAAUACCGUAUACGCCCUUCGGGGGAAAGAUUUAUCGGUGAAGGAUUAGCCCGCGUAAGAUUAGAUAGUUGGUGGGGUAAUGGCCUACCAAGUCUACGAUCUUUAGCUGGUCUGAGAGGAUGAUC